UCCAGCGGCGAUAGCACGUUAAAUACACCAAUUCCCAAAUGGAUCACUGAAGUUAAGAAACGUUGCGCAUGCGCAUAGUUAGGCUGCUAGCU
This 92-nucleotide ribosomal RNA is filed under the name Diaphorina citri (Asian citrus psyllid). Lineage: Eukaryota; Metazoa; Arthropoda; Insecta; Hemiptera; Psyllidae. The record is from RNAcentral.